AGCAAGCGGCCGAAACAGAAGAGGGGUGAGGAAGGAGGCGCGGGUGUUAGGGGAGAGUUGCUCGGUGUGCUGCCACACUCAGAAUGGAGUCGAGUGCCAGAGAGUCGGUUGUCCGUGUAUUUCAGGCGGCACGGGCCACUGCACUACCCCUACUACUUGUCGCGCCGACACUCUGUUCUGGAAUACUAGGCAGACACUAACGUAUGUCCUCGGAAUCCGCUUUUGAGCUUGCUAUAAGGAACAAAGAAAAGGAAAAAGGAAGAAAGAUGGAAGGAACGAAUACCGUGCUAUACCGUAAAACUAUUUCCAGCGAAGCGCCGAUCAUGAUAACUGAUAAGGUUUGGGGAAUGCAGCGGGAGAAGAAAACGACACCAAUCUAGAAUCUACUUUUCUGUUAUAUAUACGUCAACUGUUGGUAGUUGUUACUCGCGGAGGCACCAUUAACCCUUUCAGUGGACGCAAUAGAGUGGUUACAUUUCCGGAAUGCCGAGGCUGUCUAUCUUACCACGGAAUUAUUCCCGAAUUACUUUCACAAUUUAUAUACAUAAUAAUUCUAAUAACAACCUCGUUCCUCUCUCUCUUCGCUAAUAAAAAAGGAAUGCGAUAUAAUUAGAAUCAAUUUUCAAUUAUUCAUUUUAUAUAAAACAAUAUCUAAUCUUGGGAACAAGUUGCAACAGUGUGCACCUUAAUUGACGUCAUUCAGAGCAUACGCACGUGAGCAGAAGCAACCUCCAAUUAUAAGAUAGAUAAUAAAUGUUAUAAACACAAUUCAGGAUUCAAAUUGAGUAAUUUAAUUAACGAAGAACCGGUGACUGUAUUCUGUUAACGAUUUCACGAAUGCUUCAGGUCUGAAUCAUCCGAGCUUGUUCGUAGGUCGAUCAGAGUGUGAACGCGCGACGAUAAAUGCAGGCCAAUCGCGGUUGAAAUUGAGCGAUUCAAUUAAUGAGGAGCUGUGGAAAGAGCAGGAGCAAGGUCUACGAAGAAAAAGCUAACCGGACGGCGGAAGGAAUAAAUAGCACGGCAAGGAAAGCAAAACGAAGCGAUAGAACGCCUGCCAGAUGUACAAAUCAAACGCGCGAUCGGGAAUUCUUCGUAAUUUCUUGCAAACGCGAAGCCAGUUUCGUGACUCGAAAAUUACUCGGUCGACGUUGCUUCAUGCUCUCUUCCCUGAAAUUAAACGCGUCUCGCACGUCAUUAACGUUCUCUUGCAUAAUCAGAAUUAAUUAUCGAUUAUUUGCCAAUUUUAAGCCAAAGUCUUGUCUUUAAUUAUAACAUCUGCUCUACGGUAAUCGAAAUGCACUAUUUUAUAUCAUAAAUAAUCUGUAUUUAAAAAGUUUAUUAAGACCAGUGUCUUUUGAACUUAGAAGUUGAACAAUGCCUUCUGUAAAGUAAUCUAUCCUAACCUCAAUCAACUCUUCCACUCUCUGCAGUUGUGCAUAAGCAACACUAUACUUUAAAAUAUUAUUAGCUAGUAAAACAAUAAAUGUAUAUAUUUACGGUAAAACUGACGCUAAUUUUAGUGCAUUAUAUAUUCUUUGUAAGGAGAUUAGAAGAGAAGUAUUUCUAUUGAUACAUUAGUAAAAGGAUUACCAACAUCGACUGGGACUUUAAUUACCAACAUCUUAAUUUCAAUCAUUAAUUACAAUCUAAACUAUGAAAAACAAGAUUCGAACUUUAUUAUGUGUACCAUAAAGGCACCUCGCCACGCCUUUAAAAUAAUACACAAGAACAAAAAAAAAGUAGGUUAGAAAGUAUGAAACGUAAAAUGUCUGCAUGCGUCAGAACUGACCUAACCUCCAACGCCUGAAGAUUAAUAACAUCUCGCUAAAACUUCAAUUUUAUCAAUGUUUUCGUUUCAAUUAAUUUCAAUAAAUUACAAUUCCAGAACUAUUAAAAUCAAGAUUGUAGCGUUUCCAUGUUUAGCAUAAAGAUACCGCAACCCCUGUAGAGGGUCCCCGUCGGGAUUCAAUCGUGUGUGCCAUCACGUCGUGUACGUGCGCAGCGAAAAAUUCAAAGACGCGGCACUCGGUCAUUCACGCGACGGCACCACGAUCGAGUCGAGGCAGAAAAGGAACGCGUCACGCAGGAGGCGGGAAAUAGAGAAGUCACGAGCAGACAGAGAAAGAAGAGAGAGGCAGAGGCGCAGUUAGAGAGAGAUGCCCCGACGACUCUUGGCCUCCCAGAUGCGUAAAAGCGGGGCGCCGACUCGGGAUUCCUCAUAAUUUCUUCCCCGUUGGGACGCAAACCGGCCUCGUCACUCAUCGCGCUUUAAAGUCACUGUUAAUACAUACUCGCCUUCUCCUUUCCUCCGCGCACAUCUGUCGCGCCACAGUUAAAUAACUCGAAUGAUCGCGAAGGAUUUAGCCGUCACGCGUUCCUCUCUCUUUAUAGCGACUGUAAGAGCGUGCGCGCGCGCACACACACAAGAGACCACGAGUCGAGCGAACCAGGCGCGAUGCAGCGUCGCUGUGUGCAAAAAGUCGGAAAGACGAACGGAUCGUUACU
Bombus impatiens (common eastern bumble bee) is the source of this 2505-nucleotide long non-coding RNA. RefSeq lists it as uncharacterized. The transcript has 4 exons. The record is from RefSeq and is a predicted model, not a curated record. Lineage: Eukaryota; Metazoa; Arthropoda; Insecta; Hymenoptera; Apidae.